RNAcentral lists this unclassified non-coding RNA (493 nucleotides) under Hevea brasiliensis (rubber tree). Lineage: Eukaryota; Viridiplantae; Streptophyta; Magnoliopsida; Malpighiales; Euphorbiaceae. The record is from RNAcentral.
AAAUUUUAGCUUUGCCCUUCAACCUGCCAUUUAAAAUAAAGUGACAAUCAAGAAUAGCAAAAUGAUUGAUGUUGGCUAUUUGGGUUUAAUGAUGCAUUAUCCCAUUUUGUAUUGAGCAUGCAUUGAAAAUAUAGUUUAAAGGUGAUCCAUCUUCAACAAAUUACUGGAAAAACAAAACACCACAAAAGCACUCUAGCACGGGUGAGGGAACUAAGUUGGCCACUCUGCCUUGCCAUCAAUCCAUGACAUGUGUUUGACUUGUAAAGAAAAGAUUUCGCGUUUGUAUUCUUUGAAAUUUUAACAUAUCGACAUAUAAAAGGCAACAUGUUUUGCACCAACUCAGCAUGCACAAUACUUGCCUCUCAUCCUCACUUAGCCUGCUGUGCAUCAUUCAGUUAUGAUCUACAGAACAAGGUAUUGAAAGUACAAUAUUUUUUUUUGGACACUCUACACAUUAACUAGCUAUUAAUUAUAAUCCCUUGGAUCAAAUUCG